RNAcentral lists this ribosomal RNA (382 nucleotides) under uncultured bacterium. RNAcentral describes it as "bacterial SSU rRNA". It matches the Rfam family "Bacterial small subunit ribosomal RNA", at positions 28 to 410 of the family's 1533-position model. The record is from RNAcentral.
GAUGAACGCUAGCGGCAGGCCUAAUACAUGCAAGUCGGACGGGAUUUUGGAGCUUGCUUCAAAUGAGAGUGGCGCACGGGUGCGUAACACGUAUGUAACCUACCUUGUUCAGGGGGAUAGCCUCUCGAAAGAGAGAUUAAGACCGCAUAAAAUCACAAUGUGGCAUCACAAAAUGAUCAAAUAUUUAUAGGAACAAGAUGGGCAUGCGGAACAUAGCUAGUUGGUAAGGUAACGGCUUACCAAGGCUACGAUGUUUAGGGGAUCUGAGAGGAUGACCCCCCACACUGGUACUGAGACACGGACCAGACUCCUACGGGAGGCAGCAGUAAGGAAUAUUGGUCAAUGGGCGCAAGCCUGAACCAGCCAUGCCGCGUGCAGGGAA